AGAACUUGAAACCGUGUGCUUACAAGUAGUCAGAGCCCGUUAAUGGGUGAUGGCGUGCCUUUUGUAGAAUGAACCGGCGAGUUACGAUUUGAUGCAAGGUUAAGCAGCUAAUGUGGAGCCGUAGCGAAAGCGAGUCUGAAUAGGGCGUUUAGUAUUUGGUCGUAGACCCGAAACCAGGUGAUCUACCCUUGGUCAGGUUGAAGUUCAGGUAACACUGAAUGGAGGACCGAACCGACUUACGUUGAAAAGUGAGCGGAUGAACUGAGGGUAGCGGAGAAAUUCCAAUCGAACUUGGAGAUAGCUGGUUCUCUCCGAAAUAGCUUUAGGGCUAGCCUCAAGUGAUGAUUAUUGGAGGUAGAGCACUGUUUGGACGAGGGGCCC
This 381-nucleotide ribosomal RNA is filed under the name Staphylococcus warneri. RNAcentral describes it as "partial 23S ribosomal RNA". It matches the Rfam family "Bacterial large subunit ribosomal RNA", at positions 545 to 928 of the family's 2925-position model. Lineage: Bacteria; Bacillati; Bacillota; Bacilli; Caryophanales; Staphylococcaceae. The record is from RNAcentral.